Molecule: ribosomal RNA, 168 nt
Filed under: uncultured vent bacterium
Lineage: Bacteria
Description: partial 16S ribosomal RNA
Rfam family: Bacterial small subunit ribosomal RNA
Source: RNAcentral
GGGUAGGCAGCAGUGAGGAAUAUUGCACAAUGGGGGAAACCCUGCAUGCAGCACACGCCGUCGUGGAGGCAUGCAACGCAUUUCGGUGUGUACACUCCUUUUCAUAUGUGCAAGAAGAUGACGGUAGCAAUAUGCAUAAGCACCGGCUACUCCGUGCCAGCAGCCGCA